This 48-nucleotide non-coding RNA is filed under the name Schistosoma curassoni. The record is from RNAcentral. Lineage: Eukaryota; Metazoa; Platyhelminthes; Trematoda; Strigeidida; Schistosomatidae.
AUCCAAUUGACGAGUUCUACAUAGGACGAAGUGUCGCGCAUCUUGGAU